Molecule: transfer RNA, 60 nt
Filed under: Vibrio cholerae HC-51A1
Lineage: Bacteria; Pseudomonadati; Pseudomonadota; Gammaproteobacteria; Vibrionales; Vibrionaceae
Description: partial tRNA-OTHER
Rfam family: tRNA
About the family: Transfer RNA (tRNA) molecules are approximately 80 nucleotides in length. Their secondary structure includes four short double-helical elements and three loops (D, anti-codon, and T loops).
Source: RNAcentral
UGGUAGCGCAUCUGGUUUGGGACCAGAGGGUCGGGGGUUCGAAUCCCUCUUCACCGACCA